Molecule: ribosomal RNA, 384 nt
Filed under: uncultured bacterium
Lineage: Bacteria
Description: bacterial SSU rRNA
Rfam family: Bacterial small subunit ribosomal RNA
Source: RNAcentral
AAUGAACGUUGGCGGCAUGGAUUAGGCAUGCAAGUCGCGCGAUAAGAUUCCUUCGGGAACCCGAAAGCGGCGAAAGGGAGAGUAACGCGUAGAUGAUCUACCCCGAGGACUGGGAUAGCGGCGGGAAACUGCCGGUAAUACCAGAUGAUGUCUCCGGACCAAAGGUGUGAUUCCGCCUUGGGAUGAAUCUGCGUCCUAUUAGCUAGUUGGUGAGGUAACGGCUCACCAAGGCGAAGAUGGGUACCGGGUGUGAGAGCAUGACCCGGCUCACUGGGACUGAGACACUGCCCAGACACCUACGGGUGGCUGCAGUCGAGAAUCUUCGGCAAUGGGCGAAAGCCUGACCGAGCAAUGCCGCGUGCGGGAUGAAGGCCUUGGUUGUAA